This 253-nucleotide ribosomal RNA is filed under the name uncultured bacterium. RNAcentral describes it as "partial 16S ribosomal RNA". It matches the Rfam family "Bacterial small subunit ribosomal RNA", at positions 524 to 776 of the family's 1533-position model. The record is from RNAcentral.
UACGGAGGGAGCUAGCGUUAUUCGGAUUUACUGGGCGUAAAGCGCACGUAGGCGGAUCGUUAAGUCGGGGGUGAAAUCCUGGAGCUCAACUCCAGAACUGCCUUCGAUACUGGCGAUCUAGAGUCCGGAAGAGGUGAGUGGAACUCCUAGUGUAGAGGUGGAAUUCGUAGAUAUUAGGAAGAACACCAGUGGCGAAGGCGGCUCACUGGUCCGGUACUGACGCUGAGGUGCGAAAGCGUGGGGAGCAAACAGG